Molecule: ribosomal RNA, 915 nt
Filed under: uncultured archaeon
Lineage: Archaea
Description: bacterial SSU rRNA
Rfam family: Archaeal small subunit ribosomal RNA
Source: RNAcentral
AUCGGGGUAAGACUAAGCCAUGCAAGUUGGGCGCUCCCUAGCUAAGUUGGGAGAGCAGCGUACGGCUCCGUAAAACUUAGUUAAUCUGCCCUUAUGACGGAAAUAACCUUGGGAAACUGAGGCUAAUGUCCGAUAGAUGGAAACGUCUGGAAUGGCUUUCCGUUGAAAAGUUCUUGGGAACAUGCUCUCAAAAACGCGUAAGGAUGAGACUAUGUCCGAUCAGGUUGUUGGUGGGGUAACGGCCCACCAAGCCGAUAACCGGUACGGGCCCUGAGAGGGGUAGCCCGGAGAUGGGAACUGAGACAAGGUCCCAGGCCCUACGGGGUGCAGCAGGCGCGAAAACUCCACAAUACGCGAAAGCGUGAUGGGGUUACCCCGAGUGCCGUCCGUUGAGGAUGGCUUUUCUUCAUUGUAAUAAGCUGGAGGAAUAAAGGGGGGGCAAGACUGGUGUCAGCCGCCGCGGUAAUACCAGCCCCCUGAGUGAUAGGGACGAUUAUUUAGCCUAAAGCGUCCGUAGCCGGCUUGGUAAGUCCCUCGUGAAAUCCAACGACUCAAUCGUUGGGCGUGCGGGGGAUACUGCUAGGCUAGAGGGCGGGGGAGGUUGACGGUAUUCCUGGGGUAGGGGUGAAAUCCUAUAAUCCCGGGAGGACCACCAGUGGCGAAGGCGGUCAACUAGAACGCGCCUGACGGUGAGGGACGAAAGCUGGGGGAGCGAACCGGAUUAGACACCCGGGUAGUCCCAGCCGUAAACGAUGCGGGCUAGCUGUUGGGGCAGCCAUGAGCUGUUCCAGUGGCGCAGAGAAGUCGUUAAGCCCGCCGCUUGGGAAGUACGAUCGCAAGAUUGAAACUUAAAGGAAUUGGCGGGGGAGCACCACAAGGGGUGAAGCCUGCGGUUUAAUUGGAUUCAACGCCGGG